GGAGCUGACAAAUAAACCUCUUCUGAGUUGGCGCUCCUUCCCCUCCAGCCCCACCCGCUGCCUCUCUGCUUUUCCAGAUUCACAUGCACUCUGUACCUUUUACCACCUCAUUCUGUGCCCCGGGGCUGAGGCCUGUGAACCGUGUCCAUGGGCUCUGUGAUGGUGAAGUUUAUGCUCCAACUUGACUGGGUCAAGGGAUCCCCAGAUAGCCGGAAAUUGUCUGCUGGCCAUGAAACACUACCUGGCUCAUCCAAAUCCUACUCAUCCUUCAAGAUGGACCUCAAAAUCACUCCUCACCGGACCCCUCCCUGACCACUCCUGUGGGAAGAGACUUUGAUCCAUCCCUCCUCUCGAGUACUAUCUACUUACUGAUUAAUGUCAGUUAAGAAGACAAAAUGAAACAAAGCAAACAAAUCCUUGUUUGCACAUCUAUCUUGUUCCCUUGCUUGAUAUAAGAAUCUUGAAGUGUGGGGACCAUGCUCUGUGACUCUUCCUACAAUUCUUUUCACUGACACAGCAUCCUGUAGAUGCUCAAUAAAUACAUGUUUCUUGAUA
Balaenoptera ricei (Rice's whale) is the source of this 555-nucleotide long non-coding RNA. RefSeq lists it as uncharacterized. Lineage: Eukaryota; Metazoa; Chordata; Mammalia; Artiodactyla; Balaenopteridae. The transcript has 3 exons. The record is from RefSeq and is a predicted model, not a curated record.